UACGUAGGGUGCAAGCGUUGUCCGGAAUUAUUGGGCGUAAAGAGCUCGUAGGCGGUUAUGUAAGACAGGUGUGAAAUCCCCGGGCUUAACCUGGGAACUGCAUUUGUGACUGCAUAGCUAGAGUACGGUAGAGGGGGAUGGAAUUCCGCGUGUAGCAGUGAAAUGCGUAGAUAUGCGGAGGAACACCGAUGGCGAAGGCAAUCCCCUGGACCUGUACUGACGCUCAUGCACGAAAGCGUGGGGAGCAAACAGG
RNAcentral lists this ribosomal RNA (253 nucleotides) under uncultured bacterium. RNAcentral describes it as "partial 16S ribosomal RNA". It matches the Rfam family "Bacterial small subunit ribosomal RNA", at positions 524 to 776 of the family's 1533-position model. The record is from RNAcentral.